Molecule: ribosomal RNA, 791 nt
Filed under: uncultured Sporocytophaga sp.
Lineage: Bacteria; Pseudomonadati; Bacteroidota; Cytophagia; Cytophagales; Cytophagaceae
Description: SSU rRNA
Rfam family: Bacterial small subunit ribosomal RNA
Source: RNAcentral
CAGCUUGCUGCUUUGAGACCGGCGCACGGGUGCGUAACGCGUAUGCAAUCUACCUUGUACAGGGGGAUAGCCCAGAGAAAUUUGGAUUAAUACCCCAUGGUGUUUAAGAGUGGCAUCACUUUUUUACUAAAGUUCCAACGGUACAAGAUGAGCAUGCGUCCCAUUAGCUAGUUGGUAUGGUAACGGCAUACCAAGGCUAUGAUGGGUAGGGGUCCUGAGAGGGAGAUCCCCCACACUGGUACUGAGACACGGACCAGACUCCUACGGGAGGCAGCAGUGAGGAAUAUUGGUCAAUGGUCGCAAGACUGAACCAGCCAUGCCGCGUGCAGGAAGACGGUCCUAUGGAUUGUAAACUGCUUUUAUACAGGAAGAAACCCUCUCACGUGUGGGAGCUUGACGGUACUGUAUGAAUAAGCAUCGGCUAACUCCGUGCCAGCAGCCGCGGUAAUACGGAGGAUGCGAGCGUUAUCCGGAAUCAUUGGGUUUAAAGGGUCCGUAGGCGGUUUAAUAAGUCAGUGGUGAAAUCUGGUCGCUCAACGAUCAAACUGCCAUUGAUACUGUUAGACUUGAAUAAUUGUGAAGUAACUAGAAUAUGUAGUGUAGCGGUGAAAUGCUUAGAUAUUACAUGGAAUACCAAUUGCGAAGGCAGGUUACUAACAAUUUAUUGACGCUGAUGGACGAAAGCGUGGGGAGCGAACAGGAUUAGAUACCCUGGUAGUCCACGCCGUAAACGAUGGAUACUAGCUGUUCGGCGCAAGUUGAGUGGCUAAGCGAAAGUGAUAAGUAUCCCA